GAAAAUAUUAAACAUUACUGAAGAAGAAAAAGUUGAUAAUGACUUUGUUAACUUUAAAUACUAAUGAAACUGAAAAAAAAAUUAGCAGAAAAGGACUUCGGCCCACAUGCAGAACACAUUAGUGAUUCAGAGCCAAACACAGGAAAAUGCCCAUCUUCACAUAGAAAAGUAGUUUUUGAGGGAACCAUACAUUAGCAGGUACUUUACAUGCCAUACACCAGGAAUAAGAUAUUGAAAGAGUUUGCUAAACAACAUUAAACUUUCUCAUCAUGCAGCAGGAAAAUAUUAAGCGUUAUGAGUGGUGCUAAAGAUGUAAUGGAAUUGCUAAAGCCCUG
RNAcentral lists this unclassified non-coding RNA (335 nucleotides) under Hevea brasiliensis (rubber tree). The record is from RNAcentral. Lineage: Eukaryota; Viridiplantae; Streptophyta; Magnoliopsida; Malpighiales; Euphorbiaceae.